This 496-nucleotide ribosomal RNA is filed under the name uncultured bacterium. RNAcentral describes it as "partial 16S ribosomal RNA". It matches the Rfam family "Bacterial small subunit ribosomal RNA", at positions 29 to 507 of the family's 1533-position model. The record is from RNAcentral.
AUGAACGUUGGCGGCGUGCCUAAUACAUGCAAGUCGAGCGAACAGACGAGGAGCUUGCUCCUCUGACGUUAGCGGCGGACGGGUGAGUAACACGUGGAUAACCUACCUAUAAGACUGGGAUAACUUCGGGAAACCGGAGCUAAUACCGGAUAAUAUAUUGAACCGCAUGGUUCAAUAGUGAAAGACGGUUUUGCUGUCACUUAUAGAUGGAUCCGCGCCGCAUUAGCUAGUUGGCAAGGUAACGGCUUACCAAGGCAACGAUGCGUAGCCGACCUGAGAGGGUGAUCGGCCACACUGGAACUGAGACACGGUCCAGACUCCUACGGGAGGCAGCAGUAGGGAAUCUUCCGCAAUGGGCGAAAGCUUGACGGAGCAACGCCGCGUGAGUGAUGAAGGUCUUCGGAUCGUAAAACUCUGUUAUUAGGGAAGAACAAAUGUGUAAGUAACUAUGCACGUCUUGACGGUACCUAAUCAGAAAGCCACGGCUAACUACGUG